AACGAACGCUGGCGGCGUGGAUAAGACAUGCAAGUCGAACGGGAUUUUUUCCUGUAGCAAUACAGGAAAAAGUCUAGUGGCGAACGGGUGCGUAACACGUGAGCAACCUGCCGUGAAGUGGGGGAUAGCUCGCCGAAAGGCGAAUUAAUACCGCAUGUGGCCAAGGAAGACAUCUUCCUGACGCCAAAGCCGGGGCAACCUGGCGCUUCUCGAGGGGCUCGCGGCCUAUCAGCUUGUUGGUGAGGUAACGGCUCACCAAGGCUAUGACGGGUAGCUGGUCUGAGAGGACGACCAGCCACACUGGAACUGAGACACGGUCCAGACACCUACGGGUGGCAGCAGUCGAGAAUUUUUCACAAUGGGGGAAACCCUGAUGGAGCAACGCCGCGUGGAGGAUGAAGGUUUUCGGAUUGUAAACUCCUGUCAUUAGAGAACAAGGCACACGGUUUAACUGGCCGUGUGUUGAUAGUAUCUGAAGAGGAAGAGACGGCUAACUCUGUGCCAGCAGCCGCCGUAA
RNAcentral lists this ribosomal RNA (517 nucleotides) under uncultured bacterium. RNAcentral's name for it is "partial 16S ribosomal RNA". It matches the Rfam family "Bacterial small subunit ribosomal RNA", at positions 29 to 523 of the family's 1533-position model. The record is from RNAcentral.